GAGGGUAUAGCUCAGUGGUAGAGUGUACGCCUAGCAGGCAUGAGGUCCGGGGUUCAAUCCCCAGUACCGCCA
This 72-nucleotide transfer RNA is filed under the name Camelus ferus (Wild Bactrian camel). It matches the Rfam family "tRNA". From Rfam's summary of the family: Transfer RNA (tRNA) molecules are approximately 80 nucleotides in length. Lineage: Eukaryota; Metazoa; Chordata; Mammalia; Artiodactyla; Camelidae. The record is from Rfam by way of RNAcentral.